Chania multitudinisentens RB-25 is the source of this 139-nucleotide regulatory RNA element. It matches the Rfam family "CpoB/ybgF ICR thermometer". From Rfam's summary of the family: Imprinting control region from upstream of cpoB/ybgF (tol/pal system protein). Lineage: Bacteria; Pseudomonadati; Pseudomonadota; Gammaproteobacteria; Enterobacterales; Yersiniaceae. The record is from Rfam.
CCAGAUCUCUAUCGUUUCUUACGGUAAAGAAAAACCAGCAGUUCUGGGCCACGACGAAGCGGCUUGGGCUAAAAACCGUCGUGCUGUUCUGGUUUACUAAGAGAAUGGUAUGAACAGUAACUUCAGACGUCACUUGCUG